UGAAAUAUACCUGUCAUCAGCAAACGUUGAUUAAGCGUUUUCCGAUUUGCCAGUUCUCCCGGCGCGUCCUGGUGCCACAGGUGUUUCCUCCCUCGCCUGCUUGGCGAUGCGCCCCCUUGCCCCGCUCCUCGCUCCGCGAGAGCGGGGCUUUUU
Molecule: small RNA, 153 nt
Organism: Rhizobium sp. PDO1-076
Lineage: Bacteria; Pseudomonadati; Pseudomonadota; Alphaproteobacteria; Hyphomicrobiales; Rhizobiaceae
Rfam family: Rhizobiales sRNA Atu_C7
Source: Rfam